RNAcentral lists this long non-coding RNA (2119 nucleotides) under Elaeis guineensis (African oil palm). Its description in RNAcentral is "long non-coding RNA (EGUI_LNC044825)". The record is from RNAcentral. Lineage: Eukaryota; Viridiplantae; Streptophyta; Magnoliopsida; Arecales; Arecaceae.
UAUAUAUAUAUAUAUAUAUAUAUGGAGGGCUACAGAAAUAAAAGACAUCGGCUGGGAGGAUUGGAUAGAGAAAGAUUAGGUUGAUAAAGAGCCUGGAUUAAUAUGGAUGUUUUUUUUUGGGGGGGGUUGUAUUCUAACUGCUGUGUUGAUUUUUUUAUAGGGAUCUUGCUGCGUAAUCGGAAGGCAAAGAGAAGAGGAAAAUUGGUUAGGACAGAUGAUUUCUCAGGAUUUUUCUAAUUUUUUCUGCAUUUUUUUUUGCUGAUUCACGUAUUUUUUUUUCCUCAUUAGUUUAUAUGAAAUCAUUAUUUUCUCAUAUGAGAAACAGACAAUCUAUUCCUCAUUAGAAAUAGAGAAGGGUUGCUGCAUGGAUUUAUGCAGCCUUCCACUUCUUUCACUAACAUCAUAUGAGAGAGGGGAAGAACAGAAGAUUGCUAUCUAGGUUUGAUAGCCAUCCAUGCCAUCCACAUUGUGCCACAAAAAUAAAAGGAAAAAAAAAAAACAACGGUUGCUGCUCAAGUUCGGCAACCUUCUAGUGGAGUGAUUGGCUUUAGAAGAGUGGAAAGAGGCGGAUCGCGGUAGGGAGAUAUGGGUAAUAUAGAUCGGUGAGCAGAAAGAGAGGGGAGGAGCAGGUUGCAGAUCCUCAAAGUGUUGAGUUAGUGGGUGGAGCAAAAUGAGUUAUAGAUUAUUAGGUUAGCGGGUUUGAAGACCCGUUAUGGCUGAAUAUGGGUUGGUGGGUUAAGAGGUGCACUAAUUGGGUUGUGGGUAUAGAGUUAAUGGGCACUGGUUAGGUUUUAGUUGAGCCUGUUGGUUAGGUUAGGAUUAGGCAUCUGGUUAGGUUCAGGUUGAGAGAAUUGUGUUAGGGUUAGUAUUAGGAUUCAAUUAGGUUUAGGGUUAGAAUUAGGAUCUGGGGUCGGGUUAGGGUUGGGAGUUGGAUUAGGGUUAGGAAAUGGGGUCAGAGAGAAGAUGAGGUUAGAGAAAACAACCAAGAACAAAAAAAACCUAGGGUUAUGGAGAAGAUAGGAUCAGAGAACACAACCAAAAAAGAAAGGAAAAGGAAUAGGGAAAAAAAAAGGGAACAGAUAAAAGAAAAAAAAAAAGAACUAGAUUAGAUUAAGAAAGCGGGAAAAAUAAUACGAUUAGGAUUGGAACCUGAUCCGAUUAGGGUGGGAAGUUGGGUUAGGGUUAGGACUAGGAAAUAGGGUCAGAGAGAAAAUGGGAUUGGAGAAGAUAAUUUAAAAAAAAAUCAAAAAAAAAAAAGGGUUAGGGGGAAGAUAGGAUUAAAGAAUGGAAUUGGAAAAGGGAACAAGAAAAAAAAGAAACCGAUAGAGAAGAAAAAAAAGAAACCGAUAGAAAAGGCGGCAUUUAAAAAAAAAAAAAUAUAUCUGUGCAGCCGUUGGGAAUUUGUGGGGAGGAAAUUACCCGAGGGAGAUUGAAAAAGCCUAACCUCGGGUGGAGACAUCGAAGCGUGGAGGAAGAAGAGAAGGAGAUCUCAGCGGAAAAAACCCUUAACGCCUAAAUACCCUCGAAUCCAAACGCUCCCGAGUGUUCGCUAAUGCUCGGUUCAACCUAGGGAGAGAAGAAAAGGAAAAGGGGAAGUUGAGCUAGGGAGGGGCAGAGAUGGAGAGGGGGGAUAAGAGAAGCGACGGCAACAUGGGGAGUGGGAAAGGCGGCGAUGUGGAGAGUGAAAAUGGGUUGGGGUUUGGAGAGGAACAGAGAUGGAGAAGAAGGAUAAGGGAAGUGACGGCGGCAUGGGUAAGGCGACGGCGGCAUGAGGAGUGGGUAAGGCGGCGGUGUGGAGAGUGGAAAUAGGUUAGGGUUUGGUGAGGAAUGGAGAUGGAGGAGGGGGAUGAGGGAAGGGACCGCGGCGUGGGAGAGGUGGCGGUGGUGGGGAGAAUCGGAGGAUUAGAGAAGGAGAUUGUGAGUGCCAGUGGUGGUGGGAGAAAUCGGAGGCAUAGAGGAAGGGUAUGGGAGCGGCGACGGCGGUGGGUAGGGAGAGAGGGUUAGGGUUUGAGAGAUCAAAAAGGGUUGGCUGCAUGAAUUUUUUAUGGGUUGCCGAUGCAUAGGAAAGAAGAAAAGGGUUCAUACAUGAGUGUGCCCUCAUAGAAAAUAUAUAGGGAAC